GAACAGAGCGUUGGAAGGUAGGGGAAAUAAGAGUUGGUUGACACUCAAGCACCACUUCCUCCAACCUCAGUAUCA
This is a microRNA precursor of Gallus gallus (chicken), 75 nucleotides long. NCBI's taxonomy places the organism in Eukaryota, Metazoa, Chordata, Aves, Galliformes, Phasianidae. The record is from Ensembl.